AGACCCGAAACCCGGUGAUCUAGCCAUGGGCAGGUUGAAGGUUGGGUAACACUAACUGGAGGACCGAACCGACUAAUGUUGAAAAAUUAGCGGAUGACCUGUGGCUGGGGGUGAAAGGCCAAUCAAACCGGGAGAUAGCUGGUUCUCCCCGAAAGCUAUUUAGGUAGCGCCUCGUGAAUUCAUCUCCGGGGGUAGAGCACUGUUUCGGCUAGGGGGCCAUCCCGGCUUACCAACCCGAUGCAAACUGCGAAUACCGGAGAAUGUUAUCACGGGAGACACACGGCGGGUGCUAACGUCCGUCGUGAAGAGGGAAACAACCCAGACCGCCAGCUAAGGUC
Molecule: ribosomal RNA, 338 nt
Filed under: Salmonella enterica
Lineage: Bacteria; Pseudomonadati; Pseudomonadota; Gammaproteobacteria; Enterobacterales; Enterobacteriaceae
Description: partial 23S ribosomal RNA
Rfam family: Bacterial large subunit ribosomal RNA
Source: RNAcentral